AUGGAGAGCACCGCCUCGGUGCUAGACCGCGCCUCCUCCGCCGCGGCCCGGGCUGCGGCGGAUGCGGGCCACCUCUCCUCCAUCCGUCUCGUCUGGGUGGCGGGGCUGGUGGUGCGCGCCCUGGAGCGGUGCAAGGUUCUGGAUCGCGCCAGGGAGCUUCAAGAAGCUGUCGAUGUUCUUGCUGGCGCGGACCUGCAGACCAUGGCGAACGCCGCGGGCUUGGUGAGCAGCGCCGCCGCCAGGGCGGCUUUGGAGGCAUAUUUGCAAGGGGUGGAUCUUGUAGUGACCUGUCGGAAUCUGGAGGUGGCAACACGCGAGCUAAGCUUGGCGGUGGCGGUGGCGGCGGCGGCCGACUCAAAGGCCAGAGAGGAGGGUACCUGCAAAUGGAUCCCGUGGCUGAAGAAGGACAGGAGGAAUGCAGAUGAGCUCGACGACGGCGGCCUACGCCAAGCGCUUCUUCAGCACAAGGCCUGGCCGGCAUUCAAGAAGGCCUCCAGUGUACUUGCUGGAGCGCCCGGACCAGAGGAGAACCUGGGGGAGUUUCUUGGCUAUCCUCUGUUCGGGUCAUUGACCUUACUGCCUUACCUAGACCCUACAGGAGUGGUGAUGAAGCAUGUGUCGGGCAAUGGCAGGAAAGCUUUCCAUGUUAUCUUCUCCUUGGUUUGGAUUGCAGUCGGUCUAGGUGUUCCAUGCAGGCACUGCCGGCAUUCUGCGUUCAUGCAAAACUGUGCUGAUAUCACAAGCCGCAUCGGCAUGGCUGGCAUCACUGCCCUGGUGAUUUGGUAUAGCUGCCUCCUGAUAGCACCAGGGACGUCAGUUAUUUCCUACAUCAUGAUGGUCUUGGCUUGCAUUUUACACAUUGUUGCUUGGGCCAGGGAUCGCAGAUGGAUUGGGGGAUAG
RNAcentral lists this ribosomal RNA (900 nucleotides) under Triticum aestivum (bread wheat). RNAcentral describes it as "partial small subunit ribosomal RNA". The record is from RNAcentral. Lineage: Eukaryota; Viridiplantae; Streptophyta; Magnoliopsida; Poales; Poaceae.